Molecule: unclassified non-coding RNA, 229 nt
Filed under: Hevea brasiliensis (rubber tree)
Lineage: Eukaryota; Viridiplantae; Streptophyta; Magnoliopsida; Malpighiales; Euphorbiaceae
Source: RNAcentral
ACAUCAAUAUUCCUCUUUUUCUUUAUAUAGAUGAUAUGUGGACAUGCCUACCUUUUAGUUUUCAUUAUAAAAGCAGAUAACAUACAGGUGGUACAAUGGACUGGAGGGUUUUCGUGUUUAUGGGGUUUGCUUGUAUUAUUGCAAGUGUGUGUUCAUUUAUUGUUUUAGCAAUAGUAUGCACUAUGUACUUAUUUCUGAAUCUAUACUUUUUCCUCUCUUAAUGUAAUUG